This 560-nucleotide ribosomal RNA is filed under the name Listeria monocytogenes. RNAcentral describes it as "partial 23S ribosomal RNA". It matches the Rfam family "Bacterial large subunit ribosomal RNA", at positions 467 to 1027 of the family's 2925-position model. Lineage: Bacteria; Bacillati; Bacillota; Bacilli; Caryophanales; Listeriaceae. The record is from RNAcentral.
UAAAUACUCCCUAGUGACCGAUAGUGAACCAGUACCGUGAGGGAAAGGUGAAAAGCACCCCGGAAGGGGAGUGAAACAGUUCCUGAAACCGUGUGCCUACAAGUAGUUAGAGCCCGUUAAUGGGUGAUAGCGUGCCUUUUGUAGAAUGAACCGGCGAGUUACGAUUUGUUGCAAGGUUAAGCGGAAAAAGCGGAGCCGUAGCGAAAGCGAGUCUGAAUAGGGCGCAUAAGUAACAGGUCGUAGACCCGAAACCAGGUGAUCUACCCAUGUCCAGGAUGAAGGUAAGGUAAUACUUACUGGAGGUCCGAACCCACGCACGUUGAAAAGUGCGGGGAUGAGGUGUGGGUAGCGGAGAAAUUCCAAUCGAACUUGGAGAUAGCUGGUUCUCUCCGAAAUAGCUUUAGGGCUAGCCUCGAGGUAAAGAGUCAUGGAGGUAGAGCACUGUUUGGACUAGGGGCCCUUCUCGGGUUACCGAAUUCAGAUAAACUCCGAAUGCCAUGUACUUAUACUCGGGAGUCAGACUGCGAGUGAUAAGAUCCGUAGUCGAAAGGGAAACAGCC